AGAGUUUGAUCAUGGCUCAGAUUGAACGCUGGCGGCAGGCCUAACACAUGCAAGUCGAGCGGUAGCACAAGAGAGCUUGCUCUCUGGGUGACGAGCGGCGGACGGGUGAGUAAUGUCUGGGAAACUGCCUGAUGGAGGGGGAUAACUACUGGAAACGGUAGCUAAUACCGCAUAACGUCUUCGGACCAAAGUGGGGGACCUUCGGGCCUCACGCCAUCAGAUGUGCCCAGAUGGGAUUAGCUAGUAGGUGGGGUAAUGGCUCACCUAGGCGACGAUCCCUAGCUGGUCUGAGAGGAUGACCAGCCACACUGGAACUGAGACACGGUCCAGACUCCUACGGGAGGCAGCAGUGGGGAAUAUUGCACAAUGGGCGCAAGCCUGAUGCAGCCAUGCCGCGUGUGUGAAGAAGGCCUUCGGGUUGUAAAGCACUUUCAGCGAGGAGGAAGGGUAGUGUGUUAAUAGCACAUUGCAUUGACGUUACUCGCAGAAGAAGCACCGGCUAACUCCGUGCCAGCAGCCGCGGUAAUACGGAGGGUGCAAGCGUUAAUCGGAAUUACUGGGCGUAAAGCGCACGCAGGCGGUUUGUUAAGUCAGAUGUGAAAUCCCCGCGCUUAACGUGGGAACUGCAUUUGAAACUGGCAAGCUAGAGUCUUGUAGAGGGGGGUAGAAUUCCAGGUGUAGCGGUGAAAUGCGUAGAGAUCUGGAGGAAUACCGGUGGCGAAGGCGGCCCCCUGGACAAAGACUGACGCUCAGGUGCGAAAGCGUGGGGAGCAAACAGGAUUAGAUACCCCGGUAGU
RNAcentral lists this ribosomal RNA (797 nucleotides) under uncultured bacterium. RNAcentral describes it as "bacterial SSU rRNA". It matches the Rfam family "Bacterial small subunit ribosomal RNA", at positions 8 to 794 of the family's 1533-position model. The record is from RNAcentral.